This is a long non-coding RNA of Glossina fuscipes, 442 nucleotides long. RefSeq lists it as uncharacterized. The record is from RefSeq and is a predicted model, not a curated record. Lineage: Eukaryota; Metazoa; Arthropoda; Insecta; Diptera; Glossinidae. The transcript is spliced from 3 exons.
AGGCAAACAUUACAGUUUUUGUUUCAUCCCGCCAUCAAACUCGAUUAACCGCUUUCGAUCUGAUUACUUUAGAUACCUACGAAGAGAUACUAGAUUAUUUACGCUUAUACUUAUGGUAUUCUGCCGGUGCCGUCUGUGUUCUCGGUGAUGUAAAAUACUUUAACAAGAUCAAACGCUACAUUAUCAGUAACUACGAAGAAUCAGAUAAAAAUGAAUAAUACCAAUACGUACAAUUUGUUAAACGCAGUGUGGAUGCCAAAAGAUGCGAAUCAAAUCUUUUGUGCUUACAUGAUUUACUAAACGCUGCUCCAGAAUUGUUAGCCUCUUCGUUGCUUUACAAGUCGCGUAUACAAGUAGCUCAAGUUGUAUUAUGGGCUUACGGACUCGAUGAUCGAGAAUUUGACGCUAAUGUUAAAGAAUGCUUGGAGGCUUCAUCACAACG